This 551-nucleotide ribosomal RNA is filed under the name uncultured bacterium. RNAcentral's name for it is "bacterial SSU rRNA". It matches the Rfam family "Bacterial small subunit ribosomal RNA", at positions 355 to 896 of the family's 1533-position model. The record is from RNAcentral.
UGGGGAAUAUUGCGCAAUGGGCGAAAGCCUGACGCAGCAACGCCGCGUGGGGGAUGAAGGUUUCCGGAUUGUAAACCCCUUUCGACCGGAACGAAUCUCCUCUUGGUAAAUAAUCAGGAGGAUCGACGGUACCGGGAGAAGAAGCCACGGCUAACUCUGUGCCAGCAGCCGCGGUAAUACAGAGGGUGCAAGCGUUAAUCGGAAUUACUGGGCGUAAAGCGCGCGUAGGUGGUUUGUUAAGUUGGAUGUGAAAGCCCCGGGCUCAACCUGGGAACUGCAUUCAAAACUGACAAGCUAGAGUAUGGUAGAGGGUGGUGGAAUUUCCUGUGUAGCGGUGAAAUGCGUAGAUAUAGGAAGGAACACCAGUGGCGAAGGCGACCACCUGGACUGAUACUGACACUGAGGUGCGAAAGCGUGAGGAGCAAACAGGAUUAGAUACCCUGGUAGUCCACGCCGUAAACGAUGACCAUUAGGCGUGUGGGGUAUCGACCCCCUGCGUGCCGUAGCUAACGCGAGAAAUGGUCCGCCUGGGGAGUACGGUCGCAAGAUUA